UACGGAGGGUGCAAGCGUUGUCCGGAUUUAUUGGGUUUAAAGGGUGCGUAGGCGGCCAUUUAAGUCUGGGGUGAAAGCCCGUUGCUCAACAACGGAACUGCCCUGGAAACUGGAUGGCUUGAGUACAGACGAGGGUGGCGGAAUGGAUGCUGUAGCGGUGAAAUGCAUAGAUAGCAUCCAGAACCCCCGAUUGCGAAGGCAGCUGCCUA
RNAcentral lists this ribosomal RNA (209 nucleotides) under uncultured bacterium. Its description in RNAcentral is "partial 16S ribosomal RNA". It matches the Rfam family "Bacterial small subunit ribosomal RNA", at positions 524 to 731 of the family's 1533-position model. The record is from RNAcentral.